RNAcentral lists this long non-coding RNA (216 nucleotides) under Aedes aegypti (yellow fever mosquito). RNAcentral's name for it is "lncRNA AAEL024075". The record is from RNAcentral. Lineage: Eukaryota; Metazoa; Arthropoda; Insecta; Diptera; Culicidae.
ACUAUUUUUCGCAGUCAACGGGAACGUUAAUUUGGGACCUAAUUGAUUUUCAGGAAACCAGGUAACCGAUAUUAUACUGCCGCUAGGGAAAUGGACUACUUACAGAUAAUUAUACACUGAACCAACAAAUUUUCGGGCUUUCCGCAACUAUUCUCACCACAAAUUAUACUUAUUUCCGUAUUAAACUUUCCGAACACAAUAAAAUUUACGUUGGAA